ACUUUUCUAUCCCUGGUACUGG
This 22-nucleotide microRNA is filed under the name Monodelphis domestica (gray short-tailed opossum). RNAcentral describes it as "mdo-miR-1544e-3p". Lineage: Eukaryota; Metazoa; Chordata; Mammalia; Didelphimorphia; Didelphidae. The record is from miRBase by way of RNAcentral.